This 436-nucleotide ribosomal RNA is filed under the name uncultured Oscillospiraceae bacterium. RNAcentral describes it as "partial 16S ribosomal RNA". It matches the Rfam family "Bacterial small subunit ribosomal RNA", at positions 341 to 792 of the family's 1533-position model. Lineage: Bacteria; Bacillati; Bacillota; Clostridia; Eubacteriales; Oscillospiraceae. The record is from RNAcentral.
ACGGAAGGCAGCAGUCGGGAAUAUUGCGCAAUGGAGGAAACUCUGACGCAGUGACGCCGCGUAUAGGAAGAAGGUUUUCGGAUUGUAAACUAUUGUCGAUAGGGAAGAAAAAAAGACUGUACCAAUCAAGAAAGCUCCGGCUAACCACGUGCCAGCAGCCGCGGUAAUACGUAGGGAGCAAGCGUUAUCCGGAUUUAUUGGGUGUAAAGGGUGCGUAGACGGGAAAUUAAGUUAGUUGUGAAAUCCCUCGGCUCAACUGAGGAACUGCAACUAAAACUGGUUUUCUUGAGUGCAGGAGAGGAAAGUGGAAUUCCUAGUGUAGCGGUGAAAUGCGUAGAUAUUAGGAGGAACACCAGUGGCGAAGGCGACUUUCUGGACUGUAACUGACGUUGAGGCACGAAAGUGUGGGGAGCAAACAGGAUUAGAUACCCUGGUA